GAUGAACGCUGGCGGCGUGCCUAAUACAUGCAAGUCGAGCGAACGGACGAGAAGCUUGCUUCUCUGAUGUUAGCGGCGGACGGGUGAGUAACACGUGGAUAACCUACCUAUAAGACUGGGAUAACUUCGGGAAACCGGAGCUAAUAUCGGAUAAUAUUUUGAACCGCAUGGUUCAAAAGUGAAAGACGGUCUUGCUGUCACUUAUAGAUGGAUCCGCGCUGCAUUAGCUAGUUGGUAAGGUAACGGCUUACCAAGGCAACGAUGCAUAGCCGACCUGAGAGGGUGAUCGGCCACACUGGAACUGAGACACGGUCCAGGCUCCUACGGGAGGCAGCAGUAGGGAAUCUUCCGCAAUGGGCGAAAGCCUGACGGAGCAACGCCGCGUGAGUGAUGAAGGUCUUCGGAUCGUAAAACUCUGUUAUUAGGGAAGAACAUAUGUGUAAGUAACUGUGCACAUCUUGACGGUACCUAAUCAGAAAGCCACGGCUAACUACGU
Molecule: ribosomal RNA, 496 nt
Filed under: uncultured bacterium
Lineage: Bacteria
Description: partial 16S ribosomal RNA
Rfam family: Bacterial small subunit ribosomal RNA
Source: RNAcentral